UACGUAGGGUGCGAGCGUUAAUCGGAAUUACUGGGCGUAAAGCGUGCGCAGGCGGUUCGUUGUGUCGGUGGUGAAAGCCCCGGGCUUAACCUGGGAAUGGCCAUGGAAACUGGCGAACUGGAGUGUGGCAGAGGGGGGUAGAAUUCCACGUGUAGCAGUGAAAUGCGUAGAGAUGUGGAGGAAUACCGAUGGCGAAGGCAGCCCCCUGGGAUAACACUGACGCUCAUGCACGAAAGCGUGGGGAGCAAACAGG
This 253-nucleotide ribosomal RNA is filed under the name uncultured bacterium. RNAcentral's name for it is "partial 16S ribosomal RNA". It matches the Rfam family "Bacterial small subunit ribosomal RNA", at positions 524 to 776 of the family's 1533-position model. The record is from RNAcentral.